GCCCCUAAGCAACAAAGAGAGAAAGCUUCCUUCUUCUCCAAGCCAUGCAAUGCUCACUUCUCUUUAUCCAUUUCCGCUCUCUGGUUGACCUCCAUGCUUUUCGUCCUCGAACAAACAUCAUGAACAUGGCUUCCACUAAGCGUCGGUGUGUACGGCUUCCAAUGUAUGGCCAACAAUUUUCAGAUAUUCUAUUGCACGGACAGAAGAAAAAAAAAAGGCUAGCAUAUGGCACUAUGGUUUUUGCAAAUUGUAACUUAUUAUAAUGUUUUUAUAUUAUAAUAGAAUACAAAUGGACAAUAUAAACGGAGACAUAACGGGAAACAAGAAAAUUAAUGGAAAAACAAUAAAAGUUACUGUUCAUAGUUA
Long non-coding RNA from Carya illinoinensis, 366 nucleotides. RefSeq lists it as uncharacterized. The record is from RefSeq and is a predicted model, not a curated record. The transcript is spliced from 3 exons. NCBI's taxonomy places the organism in Eukaryota, Viridiplantae, Streptophyta, Magnoliopsida, Fagales, Juglandaceae.